RNAcentral lists this ribosomal RNA (253 nucleotides) under uncultured bacterium. RNAcentral's name for it is "partial 16S ribosomal RNA". It matches the Rfam family "Bacterial small subunit ribosomal RNA", at positions 524 to 776 of the family's 1533-position model. The record is from RNAcentral.
UACGGAGGGUGCAAGCAUUAAUCGGAUUUAUUGGGCGUAAAGGGCGCGUAGGCGGGGGUGUCAGUCAGACGUGAAAUCCCGGGGCUCAACCUCGGAACAGCGUUUGAUACUACAUCUCUAGAGGGUAGGCGGAGAAAACGGAAUUCCACAAGUAGCGGUGAAAUGCGUAGAUAUGUGGAAGAACACCGGUGGCGAAGGCGGUUUUCUAGCUUAUACCUGACGCUAAAGCGCGAAAGCAAGGGGAUCAAAUAGG